Phragmites australis (common reed) is the source of this 1840-nucleotide RNA transcript. RefSeq lists it as uncharacterized. The record is from RefSeq and is a predicted model, not a curated record. NCBI's taxonomy places the organism in Eukaryota, Viridiplantae, Streptophyta, Magnoliopsida, Poales, Poaceae. The transcript has 8 exons.
UUGGGUGCACUUAAUGAUUUUGCAGUUCUUCCUCCCCUACUCCACUUCCAAAGCGAGCUGUCCACUUUCCUCCACUCCCCCCACUUUUCUUCUCUCACUCGCGAGCUCGCGUAGACGCCGCCGCCUUCCCUUCCCUUCCCCUCCUCUGCUUCCAACCCUUCGCCGCUCGCCGCCGCCGUAUGGCGCCCACCGGGCGGCUCCUUGCGGUUGCCGCCCUCUCCUUCCUCUGUUUACACGGGCUGUUCGGUGAUUCGAGCAGUGCAUUUGCUCAGAGCCAGCCACCGCUUCACCGGAUCGUUCAUGCAGCGGAAAAUGACGGCGGCCUCAUGCCGGAGCUCCCACCGAGCGGCCUCAUGCCGAUGCCGGAGCUCUCACCUAGCGGCUCCCCCAAGCCAUUUGUCCCCUUCCUGGCGCCUGCUCCCCUCGCGCCAUUCUUUAACAACAGCACGCCAAAGCUCUCAGGGAAAUGCACAUUGAACUUCACCGCUGUUGAUAAACUGAUGACCACCACGGCCGUCGAUUGCUUUACCUCGUUCGCUCCGUUCUUGGCGAAUGUCAUUUGCUGCCCCCAGCUUCAGGCAACACUGACCAUCCUCAUAGGGCAGUCAAGCAAGCAGACUGGGUCUCUCGCGUUGGAUCCCACCGUUGCCAACUACUGCCUGUCGGAUAUCCAGGAGCUGCUGUUGAGUCAGGGUGCCAGUGAUAAUCUCCACAGCCUUUGCUCGGUUCAUCUCUCGAAUGUGACCGAGGGAUCUUGCCCUGUUAGCACGGUGGAUGCAUUUGAGAGUGUCAUCGACUCGUCGAAGCUCCUUGAGGCCUGUCGGAAGGUGGAUCCUGUUAAUGAAUGCUGCAGCCAGACAUGUCAGAAUGCUAUAAACGAAGCUGCCCAGAAGAUCUCUUUGAAGGAUGGAGGUUUGACGAGCUACGCUGGGAGUCCCAAAGUCGAUAGUUGCAGGAAUGUUGUUCUGAGAUGGCUAUCAAGCAGGCUUGACCCGCCGUCUGCAAAGCAAAUGCUGAGGCAGAUAUCUAACUGUAAUGUCAAUGGAGUUUGUCCACUAAGCUUUCCAGACACAAGUAAGGUGGCAAAAGAGUGCGUUGGAACAAUCAAGAACAGCACUACAUGUUGCAAGGCUAUGGCAAGUUAUGUAGCCCAUCUGCAAAAGCAAAGCUUCAUAACAAAUUUGCAAGCUUUAAAUUGUGCUGCUUUCCUUGGGGCAAAGUUGCAAAAGAUGAAUGUCAGCACGAAUGUUUAUAGCUCAUGCCAAAUAACUCUGAAGGAUUUUUCUCUUCAAGUUGGAUCUCAAGGUAAGUUAACAUUUUCAAGCUUUUUAUUACUUUGCUUUAAUAAUCUGGAUGUCUCCUUCCAAGCAUGCCCUCUGAUGCAUCCCUUGACCUCAUUUCUGGGAUUAGUUUCACAUGUGAUCUGAAUGAUAACAUUGCGGCCCCAUGGCCAUCUUCCAUGCAAGCACCAUCUUCGUCGUGCAAUAAAUCUGUCAAUAUUCCAGAGCGACCUGCAGCAACAUCGGCACAAAAUGGUGUGAACCACAAGAACAUGAAGCUAAGCCUUCUUAUUUCCUUGGGCUCCCUUUUUCUCGCGCUUUUGUUACAAGCUUAGUCCAGUCCAGUCCAGUUUGCCGAUUAUUCGUUCAGAUUCAGGAGAGCUAACUGGCAUCAAAGUGUUGUAGGUUCACAUGUUUUUUUAAAUCUCCUGUUAGCUAUAAGUGUAAUUUGUUGUAAGGCAAGGCAUAUAAUAAUAGUAAUAAUUUAUAUUCCUUUGUAUAGCGAGAAAGAAGGGUCAAAUUUUUAGAGAUGUGAAAUGUGCAUGACAAUUUGGUGGAAA